AUACUUACCUGCCUUGAGAGACACCACAAUAAGGCAGCUGGUUUUACAAGUGUGAGGCUUAUCUCCUGCACUCCAGGUGCGCUGAUACUUUCAAUUUCCCCAAAGGUAUGAAACUCCACAAUGUAUUUUGUGGUAGUAGGUGACUAAAUUUAUGCUCUCACCUU
Molecule: small nuclear RNA, 164 nt
Organism: Gallus gallus (chicken)
Lineage: Eukaryota; Metazoa; Chordata; Aves; Galliformes; Phasianidae
Gene: U1
Rfam family: U1 spliceosomal RNA
About the family: U1 is a small nuclear RNA (snRNA) component of the spliceosome (involved in pre-mRNA splicing). Its 5' end forms complementary base pairs with the 5' splice junction, thus defining the 5' donor site of an intron.
Source: Ensembl